UAUUGAUCCUUCCGCGUAACACUUACCGAAGCCUGAGCAGCCUGUACAGGUCCCCCUCGCGACUUUAAAUAAACACGGGAGGGUGGUUGAAUGCUAGUCCACUUUGCUGGGCAACACUGCUAAAUUGCGGGAACACCCUAAAGACCCUCGACACCAAGCGCCGUCUGGAAACAGCAGCGUGGCCGGGAUAAUGACCCGGGUACGGUAACAGCUCGGGGUAUGAACCUUUGAAAAAAGGUGAAAUGGGCUAUCCGCAGCCAAGUCCUACGGCGCCUCGGGCGCUAUGGAUACUGUUCACAGGCCAAAUGGCAGUGGGUUGCUCCUCCGCGAGCAGCUUAAGAUAUGGUCGGGCUCCCGGGGAGACCUGGGAGAUGAGAUUACGCAUAGAAUAAUUCUUACGAUAGUUUACUAUAUAACCGUUCCGUAGGUGAACCUGCGGAAGGAUCAUUACCGAGAGCGGACCCCUUCGCGGGGUCUACGCCCUUUCUUCUGCCCGUCCGAAACCUUAAAUCCUUCGGCGGGGUGCCUCGCGCCUCCUGCCGGAGGCCUUUUCCAAUGUUCUUGCUGGUCUGCUGUCGGAGUGUAAUACAAAUAAACUAAAACUUUCAACAACGGAUCUCUUGGUUCUGGCAACGAUGAAGAACGCAGCAAAAUGCGAUAAUUAAUGUGAAUUGCAGAUUUUAGUGAAUCAUCGAGUUUUUGAACGCACAUUGCGCCCCUUGGUAUUCCGGGGGGCAUGCCUGUCUGAGCGUCGUUUCGACCUUCGAGCCCCGCUCGGUCCUGGGGGUCCUCAUCCCGCGCUGGAUGCCCCCGCAAGCGGUUGGCGGCCGCCGUUUGGCCACCGGGCGUAGCAGAGCCUUCCGCCCCGGUGCCCACGGCGGCCCGCCGCGGGUCUCCACGGCCCGCCGACUUCUGGACGCUGACCUCAGAUCAGGUAGGGAUACUCGCUGAACUUAAGCAUAUCAAUAAGCGGAGGAAAAGAAACCAACGGGGAUUGCCUCAGUAACGGCGAGUGAAGCGGCAACAGCUCAAAUUUGAAAUCUGGCGCCCCCGGCGCCCGAGUUGUAAUUUGCGGAGGAUGCCUCGGUGCGAGGCCGCGCCCAAGUCCCUUGGAACAGGGCGCCUCAGAGGGUGAGAGUCCCGUUGGGCCGCGGCCGACCUCCGUGUGAGGCUCCUUCGACGAGUCGAGUUGUUUGGGAAUGCAGCUCUAAGCGGGAGGUAAAUUUCUCCUAAGGCUAAAUACCGGCCAGAGACCGAUAGCGCACAAGUAGAGUGAUCGAAAGAUGAAAAGCACUUUGGAAAGAGAGUUAAAAAGCACGUGAAAUUGUUGAAAGGGAAGCGCUUGCGGCCAGACUUGCCGCGGCGGUUCGGCCGGGUGCUCCACCCGGCUUACUCCGCCGCGUCGGGCCAGCAUCAGCUUGGGCGGUCGGACAAAGGCCUGGGGAACGUAGCUCCCUCCGGGGAGUGUUAUAGCCCCUCGCGCAAUGCGGCCUGCCCGGGCUGAGGCUCGCGUUCUGCUAGGAUGCUGGCGUAAUGGCCGCAAGCGGCCCGUCUUGAAACACGGACCAAGGAGUCUACCAUCUGUGCGAGUGUUUGGGUGUCAAACCCGUGCGCGUAAUGAAAGUGAACGGAGGCGGGAGCCCCCGGGCGCACCGUCGACCGAUCCUGAUGUCUUCGGAUGGAUUUGAGUAAGAGCACAGCUGGUGGGACCCGAAAGGUAAGCAACCAAUCCUUUUCUUCUACUUUAUAAAUGAAAGCUAAUAGAAAUUUCCCAGAUGGUGAACUAUGCGUAAACAGGGCGGAGCCAGAGGAAACUCUGGUGGAGGCUCGCAGCGGUUCUG
Molecule: ribosomal RNA, 1841 nt
Filed under: Strigula macrocarpa
Lineage: Eukaryota; Fungi; Ascomycota; Dothideomycetes; Strigulales; Strigulaceae
Description: eukaryotic LSU rRNA
Rfam family: Eukaryotic large subunit ribosomal RNA (bases 921-1841)
Source: RNAcentral